RNAcentral lists this ribosomal RNA (140 nucleotides) under uncultured bacterium. RNAcentral describes it as "partial 16S ribosomal RNA". It matches the Rfam family "Bacterial small subunit ribosomal RNA", at positions 355 to 511 of the family's 1533-position model. The record is from RNAcentral.
UAGGGAAUCUUCCACAAUGGGCGCAAGCCUGAUGGAGCAACGCCGCGUGUGUGAAGAAGGUCUUCGGAUUGUAAAGCACUUUCGACGGGGACGAUGAUGACGGUACCCGUAGAAGAAGCCCCCGGCUAACUUCGUGCCAG